This is a non-coding RNA of Caerostris darwini, 100 nucleotides long. The record is from the annotation of a GenBank genome assembly. NCBI's taxonomy places the organism in Eukaryota, Metazoa, Arthropoda, Arachnida, Araneae, Araneidae.
AUUACCGGUUCUCGUUAGGUCACCGAAGUCUAGCAUCAUUGGGCGCUGUCAGUACUUGGGUCAGUACAUGGGUGACCACCUGGGAACACCGCGUGCCGUU